CGUACUGCGGUCCUGCAUAAUAAAAGAGUCAUCAAUAAAAUAUAUUCCGCAAUGGAGGGCACGAGUCAAACAACUCACAGAUGCAAGAUUAAAAGGACAUCCAGGGACAUAAAGAACGGAAUCUAGAGUGACAGAGGUAGAGGAUUUGCUCGUCCAACUCCUUUUGCUUUAGUUUGAGACCCAUUAGCUAAAGUAACGUUGGGAAGAAACUGUGAAUACGCAAUAUUUGACAAAAGGGAUUUAUUACCAGNNN
This 253-nucleotide long non-coding RNA is filed under the name Nicotiana benthamiana. RNAcentral describes it as "long non-coding RNA (NBEN_LNC018575)". Lineage: Eukaryota; Viridiplantae; Streptophyta; Magnoliopsida; Solanales; Solanaceae. The record is from RNAcentral.